RNAcentral lists this transfer RNA (67 nucleotides) under Potomida littoralis. RNAcentral's name for it is "tRNA-Ser". Lineage: Eukaryota; Metazoa; Mollusca; Bivalvia; Unionida; Unionidae. The record is from RNAcentral.
AGGGGAUUUGGCUUUUAACCUUCUGAUUUGAAACCAGAAAAAGGACGUUCAACUCGUCCAUCUCCUU